UCUGGUCAAGUUGUUGUUGUAUAAACAAAA
RNAcentral lists this non-coding RNA (30 nucleotides) under Rattus norvegicus (Norway rat). The record is from RNAcentral. Lineage: Eukaryota; Metazoa; Chordata; Mammalia; Rodentia; Muridae.